This 492-nucleotide ribosomal RNA is filed under the name uncultured bacterium. RNAcentral describes it as "partial 16S ribosomal RNA". It matches the Rfam family "Bacterial small subunit ribosomal RNA", at positions 29 to 507 of the family's 1533-position model. The record is from RNAcentral.
AGUGAACGCUGGCGGUAGGCCUAACACAUGCGAGUCGAACGGCAGCACAGUAAGAGCUUGCUCUUACGGGUGGCGAGUGGCGGACGGGUGAGGAAUACAUCGGAAUCUACUUUUUCGUGGGGGAUAACGUAGGGAAACUUACGCUAAUACCGCAUACGACCUACGGGUGAAAGCAGGGGAUCUUCGGACCUUGCGCGAUUGAAUGAGCCGAUGUCGGAUUAGCUAGUUGGCGGGGUAAAGGCCCACCAAGGCGACGAUCCGUAGCUGGUCUGAGAGGAUGAUCAGCCACACUGGAACUGAGACACGGUCCAGACUCCUACGGGAGGCAGCAGUGGGGAGUAUUGGACAAUGGGCGCAAGCCUGAUCCAGCCAUACCGCGUGGGUGAAGAAGGCCUUCGGGUUGUAAAGCCCUUUUGUUGGGAAAGAAAGGCAGCAGGUUAAUACCCCGCUGUUCUGACGGUACCCAAAGAAUAAGCACCGGCUAACUUCGCG